AAAAAGAUAAACCCUGGGUUUCCGUGUCCAACUUUGACUGUCCGUCUUAUAUGGAUUUUUUUUAUAAUUCGUAUUUUUAUUGUUGUUAGAUGAUAAAGCAUGAUUAAUAUUUUAUGCGUGACUUGUCUUUUUAAUUUAUUUUAUAUAUUUUUUUAAAUAAGACGGGCGGUCAAACGUUGGAUACGGAAAUUAAGG
Non-coding RNA from Oryza glumipatula, 195 nucleotides. Lineage: Eukaryota; Viridiplantae; Streptophyta; Magnoliopsida; Poales; Poaceae. The record is from Rfam.